GUCAGGUCAAGUUUUCUAACUCUUGAAAAUAUUUUUUUUCUAUUUUUUUCUUAUAUUUUUGUAUUAAAUGUUUUAAUCUUCCUUGGUAUCGAAUUUGAAGUCUAUCCUGUCAAUAGUAAAACAAUUUGUAGCUGUUUCAUAUCGGUCAGGACAUUAGUAGUUUCAAAGUCAAGUUGGUCAGGUCAAGUUUUCUAACUCUUAUAAAUAUCUU
RNAcentral lists this long non-coding RNA (211 nucleotides) under Mytilus galloprovincialis (Mediterranean mussel). The record is from RNAcentral. Lineage: Eukaryota; Metazoa; Mollusca; Bivalvia; Mytilida; Mytilidae.